Molecule: long non-coding RNA, 330 nt
Filed under: Sorghum bicolor (sorghum)
Lineage: Eukaryota; Viridiplantae; Streptophyta; Magnoliopsida; Poales; Poaceae
Description: long non-coding RNA (SBIC_LNC012594)
Source: RNAcentral
AGUUACAUUGGUCCCCUGUAGUCCGCCUCCUAUUAGCAGGACGGGUAGGGUAUAUCGGCCUAUGGAUAAGCAUCCUUUGUGGUGUAUUCUUAUCACGUGGUUCGUCUCGGACAUAGACAUACCCCUUUGAAGUUCAGAAACCAUAGUUAUCCUCUCUAUUCUGCUACCAUCGCCCAUAUACUAGAUUGCUCUACUCUCUAUUCCCAUAUUAUCACCCAUUGUUAUCUUACCUUUAAUAUUGUUCUUAUUCAAUUCUAUCAUCUUUCCUAUUUACAAUUAUCUAUCUAUCUUGGCUAAGUUAGAGCGUAGUUGGUUCUCUCGUUUCCCUGU